RNAcentral lists this ribosomal RNA (253 nucleotides) under uncultured bacterium. Its description in RNAcentral is "partial 16S ribosomal RNA". It matches the Rfam family "Bacterial small subunit ribosomal RNA", at positions 524 to 776 of the family's 1533-position model. The record is from RNAcentral.
UACGAGGGGUGCUAGCGUUGUUCGGAAUCACUGGGCGUAAAGCGUACGUAGGCGGACUGUCAAGUCAGGGGUGAAAUCCCAGAGCUUAACUCUGGAACUGCCUUUGAAACUGUCAGUCUGGAGGCCGAGAGAGGAUAGUGGAAUUCCUAGUGUAGAGGUGAAAUUCGUAGAUAUUAGGAGGAACACCAGUGGCGAAGGCGACUGUCUGGCUCGGUUCUGACGCUCAAGUACGAAAGCGUGGGGAGCAAACAGG